This 883-nucleotide long non-coding RNA is filed under the name Coturnix japonica (Japanese quail). RNAcentral describes it as "lncRNA (ENSCJPG00005018860.1)". The record is from RNAcentral. Lineage: Eukaryota; Metazoa; Chordata; Aves; Galliformes; Phasianidae.
UCUAGGAGUCUUUGCUUAACGAAUAUCAUAUGGUAGUCUCUGUUAAUGAGCUUGCCAAUGCAUGGAAGCCACAGAAUACUAGAGCCUUGCUGCUGAUUGUUUGCUGCUGUUGUUCAUAUGCAUGGGAUUACUCCUGUCAUCCACUCCCAACAUGUGUGCGCAGUGAGGGAUCUGUGGAUGUGAAAAGCAAUUUUUUCUUUAGAUAUUUCACCUCCACUUCUUGAAUGGUAUAAUGACUUUGUUCUGAGGCCAAGCAUGCAGAUUCUUGAGAAAUAAACUCCGUUUGUCCUAAUCUUUUGUAGCAGUCCAAACUGUCCAUAGCAUUUGCAUGGGGAGUUCACAAGUUAGGCAUGAAGCACCAAGCCCUGUAGCAGCCUGUGCUCUCCUUCAAUGUGUGAUGUUUCAAGAAAAUUCCUGAAUAUCUGAAGUUGUUUGGAUCCAUGAAAGUUAAUGGCAUGCUGAUCAGGAUCCAGCCGUCAAAAUCCUGUCCGACUAAGGAAACAGCUUCAGAAUAUAUCCCUACAAGCAUGGCGUGAGAAAUGUGAUGGAUUUCAAAGGAAUGAAGAUCAUUUUUUCACAGGCCAGAUAUUAUGGGACCCAUAUACUAAGUAGGAGGCCCAAGGGUUUCUCCAGGAAACUCUGGACGAUGGAGAGCAAGUCUACUGCUCCUCCAUGCUGUGCAUUAGUGCUAUGCUAUCGAACCAUCAUUUUUCAGCCAGUGUUAGACAGGAUCCUGAUCUAACUGGACUGUUGUCAUGAUGUUGUGCACCCACCCUCAGACUCCUGUGUCCAUACAUAACAUGUAUCACUUCAUUGAAACGUUCUCAUUUAGCAGAUUAGUCUGUGAAAGCAAUCAUAUCAUAUUCUGCUGUUAAGUACUUCU